UGCUUGGAAAUGUCGUCUUCGGAAGGUGCAAAAGCACCUCGACGGGGUGAAAGAAAUUUAGCGCCAGAAGCAGAACUGGGAAUGGAGUGAGACGCUGGGCCACCUCUUUUUCUCUUCCACAUGCGUUUUGGUUGACAGGCAGGCAGGCAGGCCAUGAGGCCUACAAUGUUGAGGUGGAAAGCCUUCACCAAUCAGGCUGUGACAUAACAACCUCCCAUGAGCUCGCUUUACCCACCGGUUUUCAAAGGAGAAUAGCAACAGAACUGAAAAUCUCUUAAGCUAUCAGUUUGCUCCCUGUUUGGGUUCACCAAUCAACCACUGCUGUUUCUCUGAUGGCAGUGUCUGCACAGAGACUGCCACUUUCUGAUGUUGGAACUACUCAGAGAAACUAUCCAAGGAUUUUCAUCAUACCCUGGAAAAACAUGGACUAUAAAGAAAAAGAUAUAUUGCCACCUAGUGGAAAAUAGGCAGAAUCAUUUGGUUGUCAUUCAGUUUUUAAAUCACAAAAUGGUUAGUACAAGAAAUGCUUAAAAAUGUUCUUCAGUCAUGAAUAACCAUGCUUUAAUCAAAUGAUGUCUUCCACGUUUAGCUGACAU
Molecule: long non-coding RNA, 596 nt
Filed under: Canis lupus familiaris (dog)
Lineage: Eukaryota; Metazoa; Chordata; Mammalia; Carnivora; Canidae
Description: lncRNA (ENSCAFG00000053200.1)
Source: RNAcentral